AGAUGUGAGGGUGAUCUGUCUGUGACAUCUGUCACCCCACUGAUCUCCAGGAUUGACUCAGCUGAUCUGGCUGGCUAGACAGGUGUCCCUUUCCUCCCUCAGUGCUCCAUGUGUGUCCCUCCCAAAGCUGCGUGCUCAGUUGAAGAAAACAACCAUCCCUGAUUGAGCAAGAGUAUAUAAGUACCUGCUAGAACCUCCAAACAAGCCCUCAAAUACAAGCAUCAUAACAUGUGUUUAUAUAUGCAGAACAUGUUUCCAAAAGUUGAACUCUUU
Molecule: small nuclear RNA, 273 nt
Filed under: Castor canadensis (American beaver)
Lineage: Eukaryota; Metazoa; Chordata; Mammalia; Rodentia; Castoridae
Description: 7SK RNA (ENSCCNG00000012727.1)
Rfam family: 7SK RNA
About the family: 7SK was discovered as an abundant small nuclear RNA in the mid-70s but a possible function has only recently been suggested. Two independent studies have found that 7SK RNA binds the CDK9/cyclin T complex (known as elongation factor P-TEFb).
Source: Rfam by way of RNAcentral